RNAcentral lists this ribosomal RNA (1618 nucleotides) under Vibrio parahaemolyticus. RNAcentral's name for it is "partial 23S ribosomal RNA". It matches the Rfam family "Bacterial large subunit ribosomal RNA", at positions 1336 to 2925 of the family's 2925-position model. The record is from RNAcentral. Lineage: Bacteria; Pseudomonadati; Pseudomonadota; Gammaproteobacteria; Vibrionales; Vibrionaceae.
GCCGGAAGACCAAGGGUUCCUGUCCAACGUUAAUCGGGGCAGGGUGAGUCGACCCCUAAGGCGAGGCAGAAAUGCGUAGUCGAUGGGAAACGGGUUAAUAUUCCCGUACUGGUGAUAAUUGCGAUGGGGGGACGGAGAAGGCUAGGCUGGCCGGGCGACGGUUGUCCCGGUUUAAGGAUGUAGGCAGGUGAAUUAGGCAAAUCCGGUUCACUACAUGCUGAGGUCUGAUGACGAGUCACUACGGUGGCGAAGUAGCUCAUGCCCCGCUUCCAGGAAAAGCCUCUAAGCUCUAGAUUAUCACUAAUCGUACCCCAAACCGACACAGGUGGUCAGGUAGAGAAUACUCAGGCGCUUGAGAGAACUCGGGUGAAGGAACUAGGCAAAAUGGUGCCGUAACUUCGGGAGAAGGCACGCUGGCGCUAGGUGAAGUGGUUUACCCAUGGAGCUGAAGCCAGUCGCAGAUACCAGCUGGCUGCAACUGUUUAUUAAAAACACAGCACUGUGCAAACACGAAAGUGGACGUAUACGGUGUGACGCCUGCCCGGUGCUGGAAGGUUAAUUGAUGGGGUUAUCCGUAAGGAGAAGCUCUUGAUCGAAGCCCCAGUAAACGGCGGCCGUAACUAUAACGGUCCUAAGGUAGCGAAAUUCCUUGUCGGGUAAGUUCCGACCUGCACGAAUGGCGUAAUGAUGGCCACGCUGUCUCCACCCGAGACUCAGUGAAAUUGAAAUCGCUGUGAAGAUGCAGUGUACCCGCGGCAAGACGGAAAGACCCCGUGAACCUUUACUAUAGCUUGACACUGAACAUUGAGCCUUGAUGUGUAGGAUAGGUGGGAGGCUUUGAAGUGUGGACGCCAGUCUGCAUGGAGCCAACCUUGAAAUACCACCCUUUAAUGUUUGAUGUUCUAACGUUGCCCCGUUAUCCGGGGUGCGGACAGUGUCUGGUGGGUAGUUUGACUGGGGCGGUCUCCUCCCAAAGAGUAACGGAGGAGCACGAAGGUUGGCUAAGCAUGGUCGGACAUCAUGCGGUUAGUGCAAAGGCAUAAGCCAGCUUGACUGCGAGAGUGACGGCUCGAGCAGGUACGAAAGCAGGUCAUAGUGAUCCGGUGGUUCUGAAUGGAAGGGCCAUCGCUCAACGGAUAAAAGGUACUCCGGGGAUAACAGGCUGAUACCGCCCAAGAGUUCAUAUCGACGGCGGUGUUUGGCACCUCGAUGUCGGCUCAUCACAUCCUGGGGCUGAAGUCGGUCCCAAGGGUAUGGCUGUUCGCCGUUUAAAGUGGUACGCGAGCUGGGUUUAGAACGUCGUGAGACAGUUCGGUCCCUAUCUGCCGUGGGCGUUGGAAGAUUGAAAGGGGCUGCUCCUAGUACGAGAGGACCGGAGUGGACGCACCACUGGUGUUCGGGUUGUCAUGCCAAUGGCAUUGCCCGGUAGCUAAGUGCGGAAGAGAUAACCGCUGAAAGCAUCUAAGCGGGAAACUUGCCUUGAGAUGAGUCUUCCCUGACCCUUUAAGGGUCCUAAAGGAACGUUUAAGACUAAGACGUUGAUAGGUUGGGUGUGUAAGCAUAGCGAUAUGUUGAGCUAACCAAUACUAAUGAACCGUGAGGCUUAACCUGACAACAC